UGUGGGCACCGAAGAACAGGGGGGGCCAGGCCCAGUUGAGCGCCAGCUGAGCCCCGUAGAGCCCCAUGGGGACGAUGGCCUUGCUGCCACAGCCACCCAGGUCGUUCCACACCAGAUGUCUAUGGCAGAAAAAACCUUCCAGUGGCUUGAAGCACUCCAGGAACCCACGGCAGAGAGGACUCGGCUGUAAAAGAGGGGAGCUGAGGCACAGGGGGAGGCUCUCAAUUUGUUCACGGACUCCUUUUGUAUAAAACAGAGGGAAAUUUGCUUUAAUAAUAAAAAUGUUCCCACACGAUGCAGGGUAACACCAGGACACA
Long non-coding RNA from Parus major (Great Tit), 317 nucleotides. RefSeq lists it as uncharacterized. The record is from RefSeq and is a predicted model, not a curated record. The transcript has 2 exons. NCBI's taxonomy places the organism in Eukaryota, Metazoa, Chordata, Aves, Passeriformes, Paridae.